RNAcentral lists this ribosomal RNA (858 nucleotides) under Tricladium caudatum. Its description in RNAcentral is "eukaryotic LSU rRNA". It matches the Rfam family "Eukaryotic large subunit ribosomal RNA", at positions 71 to 946 of the family's 3401-position model. Lineage: Eukaryota; Fungi; Ascomycota; Leotiomycetes; Helotiales; Tricladiaceae. The record is from RNAcentral.
GGGAUUGCCUCAGUAACGGCGAGUGAAGCGGCAACAGCUCAAAUUUGAAAUCUGGGUCUUUUAGGCUCCGAGUUGUAAUUUGUAGAAGAUGCUUCGGGUGUGGCUCCGGUCUAAGUUCCUUGGAACAGGACGUCAUAGAGGGUGAGAAUCCCGUACGUGACUGGUUGCCUUCGCCCAUGUGAAGCUCUUUCGACGAGUCGAGUUGUUUGGGAAUGCAGCUCAAAAUGGGUGGUAAAUUUCAUCUAAAGCUAAAUAUUGGCCAGAGACCGAUAGCGCACAAGUAGAGUGAUCGAAAGAUGAAAAGCACUUUGGAAAGAGAGUUAAACAGUACGUGAAAUUGUUGAAAGGGAAGCGCUUGCAACCAGACUUGCACGUUGCCGAUCAUCCGGGGUUCUCCCCGGUGCACUCGGUUGCGUUCAGGCCAGCAUCGGUUUGGGUGGUUGGAUAAAGGCCUUGGGAAUGUAGCUUCUUUCGGGGAGUGUUAUAGCCCUCGGUGCAAUGCAGCCUACCCGGACCGAGGACCGCGCUUCGGCUAGGAUGCUGGCGUAAUGGUUGUAAGCGACCCGUCUUGAAACACGGACCAAGGAGUCUAACAUCUAUGCGAGUGUUUGGGUGUCAAACCCAUACGCGUAAUGAAAGUGAACGGAGGUGAGAACCCUUAAGGGUGCAUCAUCGACCGAUCCUGAUGUCUUCGGAUGGAUUUGAGUAAGAGCAUAGCUGUUGGGACCCGAAAGAUGGUGAUCUAUACUUGAAUAGGGUGAAGCCAGAGGAAACUCUGGUGGAGGCUCGCAGCGGUUCUGACGUGCAAAUCGAUCGUCAAAUUUGAGUAUAGGGGCGAAAGACUAAUCGAACCAUCUA